UAAGAAUUUAAAAGUCGAACAGACUUAUCAAUAAGAAUACUGCUUCUUAUAAUAUUCUUAAUUCAACAUCGAGGUCGCAAAAUAUAAUAUAGAUGUGAACUCCCCAUUAAAAUUACGCUGUUAUCCCUAAGGUAACUUAAUCUUACUAUCCUCUAUUUAGGGAUCUUAAAUUUCAUAAAUAAAUGAUACAAAAAACUAAAGUUUAUAUUUAAUUACCACCCCAGCAAAAAAUAAAUUUAUAAAAUAAAAUAAUACUAAUUAAAUUUAAUAAUAUAAAUUUAUAUAAAGUUCUAUAGGGUCUUAUCGUCCCAAUAACCAAAUAAAGCAUUUUAACUUUAAAUUUAAAUUCUAAUUUUUAAAGAAAUAAAAUAUAUUUCUCAUACAUCCAUUCAUACAAGCCCCCAAUUAAGAAACUAAUUACUAUGCUACCUUUGCACAGUCAAAAUACUGCAGCCAUUUAGUUAAAACCAUAGGGCAGAAGAUACUUUUUAUAUAACCA
This 499-nucleotide ribosomal RNA is filed under the name Nesophrosyne ignigena. RNAcentral's name for it is "partial 16S ribosomal RNA". RNAcentral also lists the same sequence under 2 other names. The record is from RNAcentral. Lineage: Eukaryota; Metazoa; Arthropoda; Insecta; Hemiptera; Cicadellidae.